This 497-nucleotide ribosomal RNA is filed under the name uncultured bacterium. RNAcentral describes it as "partial 16S ribosomal RNA". It matches the Rfam family "Bacterial small subunit ribosomal RNA", at positions 28 to 507 of the family's 1533-position model. The record is from RNAcentral.
GAUGAACGCUGGCGGCGUGCCUAAUACAUGCAAGUCGAGCGAACAGACGUGGAUCUUGCUCCUCUGACGUUAGCGGCGGACGGGUGAGUAACACGUGGAUAACCUACCUAUCAGACUGGGAUAGCUUCGGGAAACCGGAGCUAAUACCGGAUAAUAUAUUGAACCGCAUGGUUCAAUAGUGAAAGACGGUUUUGCUGUCACUUAUAGAUGGAUCCGCGCCGCAUUAGCUAGGUGGUAAGGUAACGGCUUACCAAGGCGACGAUGCGUAGCCGACCUGGGAGGGUGAUAGGACACACUGGAACUGAGACACGGUCCAGACUCCUACGGGAGGCAGGAGUAGGGAAUCUUCCGCAAUAGGCGAAAGCCUGACGGAGCAACGCGGCGUGAGUGAUGAAGGUCUUCGGAUCGGAAAACUGUGGUAUUAGGGAAGAACAAAUGUGUAAGUAGCUAUGCACGUCUUGACGGUACCUAAUCAGAAAGCCACGGCUAACUACGUG